This 253-nucleotide ribosomal RNA is filed under the name uncultured bacterium. RNAcentral describes it as "partial 16S ribosomal RNA". It matches the Rfam family "Bacterial small subunit ribosomal RNA", at positions 524 to 776 of the family's 1533-position model. The record is from RNAcentral.
GACAGAGGGUGCAACCGUUGUUCGGAAUUACUGGGCGUAAAGCGCGUGUAAGCGGCUUGGCAAGUCGGGUGUGAAAGCCCCGGGCUCAACCUGGGAAGUGCACUCGAAACUGCUUGGCUUGAGUACUGGAGAGGGAAGCGGAAUUCUCGGUGUAGAGGUGAAAUUCGUAGAUAUCGAGAGGAACACCGGUGGCGAAGGCGGCUUCCUGGACAGUUACUGACGCUGAGACGCGAAAGCUAGGGGAGCAAACGGG